This 201-nucleotide unclassified non-coding RNA is filed under the name Glomus sp. RNAcentral's name for it is "partial contains 5.8S ribosomal RNA and internal transcribed spacer 2". The stretch from base 1 to 71 matches the Rfam family "5.8S ribosomal RNA", at positions 84 to 154 of the family's 154-position model. Lineage: Eukaryota; Fungi; Glomeromycota; Glomeromycetes; Glomerales; Glomeraceae. The record is from RNAcentral.
GUGAAUCAUCAAAUUUUUGAACGCAAAUUGCACUUUCUGGUAUUCCGGAAAGUAUGCCUGUUUGAGGGUCAGCCUAUAAAAAAUCGACAGCGUUGCUGGUUCGCGGUGGCGUCCGUCGGAAUUUGGGUCAUCUUAAAUUUUUUGGUUCAAGCGACUUAAAUAUUUUUUUUACGAUUAUAAUAAUGUUAUUAAGAUUUUUCU